This is an unclassified non-coding RNA of Homo sapiens (human), 308 nucleotides long. The record is from Ensembl. NCBI's taxonomy places the organism in Eukaryota, Metazoa, Chordata, Mammalia, Primates, Hominidae.
GCUCAUGCAUGGGGUGCAGUAGUGCAUGCCUGUAGUCUCAGCUACUUGGGAGGCUGAGGAAGAAGGAUUGCUUGAGUCCAAGAGUUCUGGACUAUAUUGCACUAUGCUGAUCAGGUGUCCGCACUAAGUUCGGCAUCAGUAUGGUGACCUCCCAGGAGUGCGGGACCACCAGGUUGUCUAACGACGGGUGAACUGGCCCAGGUCAGAAGCGAAGCAAGCCAAAACUACCAUGCUGAUCAGUAGUGGAAUCAUGCCUGUAAAUAGCCACUGCACUCCAGCCUGGGCAAACAUAGCGAGACCCCGUCUCU